CGAACGGGUGAGUAAUGCAUCGGAACGUACCCAGAAGUGGGGGAUAGCUCGGCGAAAGCCGGAUUAAUACCGCAUAUUCUCUUAGGAGGAAAGCAGGGGAUCGCAAGACCUUGCGCUUUUGGAGCGGCCGAUGUCGGAUUAGCUAGUUGGUGAGGUAAAAGCUCACCAAGGCGACGAUCCGUAGCUGGUCUGAGAGGACGACCAGCCGCACUGGGACUGAGACACGGCCCAG
Molecule: ribosomal RNA, 232 nt
Filed under: uncultured bacterium
Lineage: Bacteria
Description: partial 16S ribosomal RNA
Rfam family: Bacterial small subunit ribosomal RNA
Source: RNAcentral